AGCUCCAAUAGUAUAUAUUAAAGUUGUUGCAUUUAAAAAUUUUGUAAUUGAACUUGUUGCCUGGAUGGCUUGGUCUGACGCUUAUGUGUGAGUACCUGAGCCAUCCAACUAUCCUUGGGUAGAAUCUGUGUGGAAUUAGGUUCUCGUGUAGAGGAUACCCAUCCUUUACUGUGAAAAAAAUUGAGUCUUCAAGGCAGGCUUAUGCCUUUGAAUAUAUUAUCUUAGAACAAUGAUAUAGGACUUUGAUACUAUUUUGUUGGUUUGUACACCAAAGUAAUGAUUAAUAGGGACAGUUGGAGAUAUUAUUAUUUUUAGGUCAGAAGUGAAAGUUUUGGAUUCUUUAAAGACUGACUACUAAGAAAAAAUGUAUCAAAGAUGUUUUCA
RNAcentral lists this ribosomal RNA (384 nucleotides) under uncultured eukaryote. Its description in RNAcentral is "SSU rRNA". It matches the Rfam family "Eukaryotic small subunit ribosomal RNA", at positions 587 to 972 of the family's 1831-position model. The record is from RNAcentral.